AAGUUUUUUAUCAAUGAGCUAUACACGAGUCACAACAUCAUCAAUCAUUGUAUCUCAAAACAAAUCAGAUAACACAAUCUGGAUCCUAGCUUUCUGCAUCAAAAAUACAAAAGACCUAUAAACACAAAAACAAUUCCACUUUGGAUGCAAUUGAACACGUCAAGGAGGCAGCUGAAGUUUGUAACUAUGGAUGGUCAAUCUAAAGAGGGCUAAAGUGCAGAUGCUAAAGUGGCAGCACCAAAUGGUUCUGUUGCUCCUAAUGUAGAGACAACAAAGCCUCUUAAGAGCAAAUCGAAGACUCAAAAGCAACACAAAGCAAGCAAAGCAACACAAGCCGUAAACUAAAGCUAAUCGAAGAAUCAAAAGCAACACAAAGCAAAGUAAAGCAAACCCACAAUUAAACAAUGUAACCAUGGUGGAUCAAACCCAAGAACAAGUGAUUGCAACAAGGAUACAAAGAGAAACAACGAGAGAGACAUGGAGCGAGAGAGAGGAAGCGAGAGAGGGAGAGAGAGAGAGAGAGAGAGAGAGAAACACAAACCUACUACACUCCGGCGAUGGAUCCGACGAGUCUCCAGUGAAGAAUCGGCGACGGCGAGAUCACCGGCGAAGAAUCAGCAUCAUUGACGGCUAUGAAUCUCAAUUUUGAGUGUUUUGUGUCGAGGAGAGGGUGAAGAAGAGAUGUGGUUUUUGGAUGUAAUUCCAUAUAUUAGAUUAGGGUAUUAUUGACAUUUUAUAAUUUUGGCUGAAUCAGCUUCAGCAGAAUGAACAAAUCAAACUCAGUCAGAUUUUUUUUAUUUUUUGGAUGAGUUUAGAAAAAAACAUUCAACUGAAUCAUUCAAAUGAUCUAUUUAAACAUGAAAAACAAACAACAAUUUUCAUCUUCAUUGAGAUGGUUCAUCCAAAUGGACAAACAAACAGGACCUUAAUAGAACAACCCAAAAAAGAACUCUUACAAAUUGAUUAAUAAAAUAAU
This 976-nucleotide small RNA is filed under the name Arabidopsis thaliana (thale cress). RNAcentral's name for it is "ATSL061160". Lineage: Eukaryota; Viridiplantae; Streptophyta; Magnoliopsida; Brassicales; Brassicaceae. The record is from RNAcentral.